RNAcentral lists this ribosomal RNA (437 nucleotides) under uncultured bacterium. RNAcentral's name for it is "bacterial SSU rRNA". It matches the Rfam family "Bacterial small subunit ribosomal RNA", at positions 29 to 467 of the family's 1533-position model. The record is from RNAcentral.
AUUGAACGCUGGCGGCAUGCCUUACACAUGCAAGUCGAACGGCAGCACGGGGGCAACCCUGGUGGCGAGUGGCGGACGGGUGAGUAAUGCAUCGGAACGUGCCCCUGAAGUGGGGGAUAACGCAGCGAAAGCUACGCUAAUACCGCAUAUUCUGUGAGCAGGAAAGCAGGGGAUCGCAAGACCUUGCGCUUUGGGAGCGGCCGAUGUCGGAUUAGCUAGUUGGUGGGGUAAAGGCCUACCAAGGCGACGAUCCGUAGCGGGUCUGAGAGGAUGAUCCGCACACUGGGACUGAGACACGGCCCAGACUCCUACGGGAGGCAGCAGUGGGGAAUUUUUGGACAAUGGGCGAAAGCCUGAUCCAGCCAUGCCGCGUGAGUGAAGAAGGCCUCGGUUGUAAAGACUCUUCGUGGGAGAAGUAGCAUAGGCGUAAUACCCUA